This is a long non-coding RNA of Perca fluviatilis (European perch), 2671 nucleotides long. RefSeq lists it as uncharacterized. The transcript is spliced from 4 exons. The record is from RefSeq and is a predicted model, not a curated record. Lineage: Eukaryota; Metazoa; Chordata; Actinopteri; Perciformes; Percidae.
UUUUUUAUUUGAAGGUGGGUAUUUACAUUUCUGCAUUCAGUAAAAAAUAAACAACGAAAAAUGAUUUGCUAUAAAUGAUAACCUGGAUGUCAGCUAUGACAGAGAGUCAGUUGCCAGUUUAUUUGGUACACAUAGCUAUUUUAUUAAAAUUGUUUUAGAGAUGUGUUCAUUCAUCUGUAUGUCCAUUUUGGAGGCUGUUUGUGCUUUUGUUAAAUUGUAUUGCGUUAUUUUACCUGGAGUUUCUAAUAUUUACCCAAUCCUUACUGGUAUAAAUAGGGUGCAUUAGUUUUUUAGAAUGUAUUACUGUACUUUUAGCUAGGUCUACCAAAUAAACUGGCAAAAAUACUCUAAAUACACAUAGUAUCACAACCAUAACUUUAGAAAUAUUUAAAAAUCUGUCUUGCAGUACCCUGUUAAGGGGUUGUAGUUCGGACACUGCUGAAAUAGAAUAAAUUAAAUCAGUAAUAGAAUAGAAAAGUAUAGAAACCACCAAUAAAUGUCUGUAGAUACCUUGGUUAAGUCAGGCGAUCAGUAUUGAUUUAUUAUUAUUCAGUAUUGUGUUGUUUGAAUGAAGCUGCUCACAGCAAUAUAUUGUCAACUAUAAAUAUGACACUGCGUGACACUGACCCUUAUUCCAUUUGAUUAUCUGUACAUACUAAAUAUUAUAGAGUUGUGUAAUACUGUGAAGGAACAUGCUCAUUGCACAUUUGAAGAUAAUUUAACAGAAGCAAACGUCAGCUUUCUACAUUGCUAUGCAUAUUGGGAGGGCAGUGUUCAGUGCAGCAGCUGUGUUGUGGACUACAGACAAAACACACCAAAGCAUAUUUGAGUUGCCAAUGGAAGGGGAGAAUAUAAGCAACAUCUGAUCACCUAACCUUAAUGUAUAGAAUAUUACACUGUAGGUGGCUAAAGUUGACAAUACCCUGUUCUGUUGUACAUUAAUUAAUGCAGACGUAUGUCAGUCCACUUGCAACGCUUGGAACACUGUUGCUUUCAAAUUUGAAAACUUCCUAAAUAGCUAGUCAAAAAAUGCUCAGUUAUUAUUACUUUCUUUAUUAACUCUCUUUUGUGUUGUCCAUACACAGCACAUUCAGAAAUGCUGUGAUUACUGUACGUCUGCAUUAGGGCCUUUUUUGAUGAAUACAUUUUGUUAUUUUCCUGUGUGAAUGUAUUACAUACUCAAAACACUGUUAGACUUAUUAUGUAGUCUACAAAAGGGACAUGGUAUUAUGUAUUGCACAUCAUGAUGGUCAAUUUCGAAUUGACUACGACUUGACAUGAACAGAACACUUAUAAACCAGAUUUAUUCUGUGCAAGCUGUGUUCAGGGUGAGUGAUUGGACUAAAAACAGCCCUGAGUAGUAGCCUGCAGUUAGUUGAAGUUUUUUAUAUUCACAGAUCAGAUCAAAGGACUCUCCUAUACACUCACUAUCUACGCCAGGGUUUCUGCAGGUUUCACCAAGUUAAAUUUAUGACCUUUUAAGACCAUUAUGAAUGAAAUUUAGGACCUUUAUCACAACAUCAACUGAGCCCUAAAUUCAUUUUUUUUCAAGCCAAGUAAAUCACUAAACUUGCACUUCCCCUUUUAUGUCUGUGGUACAAUCCGAAAGAGACUUGCGGCAAUAACACAAAAGCUGGUUGGCUGCAAUAGAAGUAGCAUGUUGGUCUCAUUUGUAGUAGCGAAAUUACAGUUGGACUAGUAAAAGAAAGAACUACAACACCACAGGAUUAAAAAAAGAGAAGAGCAUUAGAGGUAGAGUUGCAUUGACGGAGGAAAAUUAAGACCUGUUUAAAAUAAUUUAACACCUAGAACACAAUACUUAUUUAUUUAAGACUCUUUAAGACAUUUUAAUUUUGAAAUUCUAGACUUUUUAAAACCCACGGAAACCCUGUACACCCAUGUGCCUUGUUUUGCAAGAUGACAUCAAACAUUACAGCAUCAUGUGUGAGUUAUAUACUGUUUUGAGCUAAUAUAUACAUGGUUUUAAAAACAAAGAGUAAAUGCUUGCACUUGUGUGUUUAUUCCUGUGUUAAAGGUUCCCUGUGGAGUAUUCGACCUCUAGCAGUGCCAGUGCUAUGGAGCAGAUUUCGAACCCAGGGGGAUCCAUAUCACGAUAAGAAACACACAGAGUAAAAACAUAUUGAAGUUGAAGUGUUGGAGAAGUGAAAUGUCCCUUUUGAAAGAGGCCUGAAAUACACACACACAUGCUCACUAACGGAGAGAUGUCAGAGUGGGUGGGCUGUGACUGCUGAACAGGCACCUUGAGUGGUCCGGUGCCUUGCUCAAGGGCACCUUGGCAGUGCCCAGGAGGUGAAGUGGCACCUCUCCAGCUACCAGUCCACCUCCAUAUUUCGGUCCAUACGGGGGCUUGAACCAGCGACCCUCCGGUUCCCAACCCAACUCCCCACAGACUGAGCUACUGCCCCCCUGACUACAUUCCAGAACCGCUCCUGAGGGGACCUUGUGAAAAUGAAGGCCAUCUUUACACGAGAACUAGCAUCUUGCAGUGAUGGAGAGCUGCAUAAGAGGUCCUUUUACCGGAGUCGAGCCCACACCUAGCACUGUGGGUAAUGUAGGCAGGAGUCAGGGAAUCAUGGGAAAUGUAGUGAGCAAGUGUGAUCAGCUGCAGUGACAGACCGUAUGAGAAAGCUCAGCCAAGAGGAGGGUGUAC